CUCAGCGCUACACGAAAUCGAGGCCAAGCUGAAGGAAGCAGAAGAGCAGAAUGGAAACCUUCUCGCAGAAAUAAAUUGCCUGAGAGAAGAAAUAUGUGCAAAGGAUGACCAGCUUGAUGAACAUCGAGAAAUGAUUAAGCAGGUCCAAAAUCCAUCAGAAGCUGAGAUGAAGGUGGAAUGUAGCAGCGUACAGCAAACCAAGAGUGUGAUGCAAAACACUCUGCGACGCAGGAAGUGACGGUGAUGCUCUGGAGUCUCUCGAGAACAAUCUGAGUCAAGUGAAGAAGGAGAAAGAGCAGAUCCACAAGGACUUCGUCAGGCUACAGAAAGACAUCCGAUUGCUGAGGAAGGAGCACGAGCAGGACCUAGAAUACAUGAAGAAAGAGUUGCUGGGCGAGAAUGAGAAACAGAUGAAACUGGAGCUGGAAGAUCUGGAGAUGAAGCACAAUUCUGCUAUCAAGCAGUUAAUGAGGGAGUUCACACACAGAUGGCUUUGAAAGAGAGGGAGCUCGUUACAACAGUGAAGGAGACCAUCGAGAAGGCCCAGACCGUAGAGGCGGAGCUCCUCAGCAGCCAUAGUGAAGAAGCCUGUCAGCUGAGGAAGGUGAUUGACCAGAAGGAGGAUGAUUUGCACAGAACUGUUCAGAAAUAUGAAGAGGUAUUACAGGUACUGUAAAACGAUGAGCUUCAAAGCUUCACACAAGACCCUAUUUACACAGUAAGUUAAUCGUGGAAAGGAAAUGAACUCCCACCCCGUCAUUUGGAAGCCGUCAGUGCAGUUGUUGGCAGGCGCACCACUCUUACUCUGAAGCAGUGCUUCUUAACCUCUUUUGUAAGACAUGCCUCCAUAGCAUCGACACCAACCAUCAUGACCAUCACCAAAUCCAUUUGAAUUUAUUUUUAAAUAUUAUUUGAUAAACAGGUAAUGUUUGUAUUUCUACCAUAUCACUUAGUGACAGAAGGAGGAUGUUUAUUUAAUCUGUUAUCCAGUACUUUUAGCUACUUAACUUUAACUAUCUAUCUUUCUGCUGUUUAUUUGUUAGCUACUUAUCCGUGACCUUUUUUCUAAUUAUUCAACUGUUGAUUAACUUGUUUUCACACAUUCUUAAACACAACACUGUUUGGGUGUUAUGGCUGACUUAAUAUGUGUAUUUAUAUAUUAAAUCAAAUGAUAAAUUCUACUACUUAAAGAUCUGUCUCCAU
This 1203-nucleotide long non-coding RNA is filed under the name Cottoperca gobio. Its description in RNAcentral is "lncRNA (ENSCGOG00000024481.1)". The record is from RNAcentral. Lineage: Eukaryota; Metazoa; Chordata; Actinopteri; Perciformes; Bovichtidae.